AAUAUGGGACAAUGGGCGAAAGCCUGAUCCAGCCAGGCCGCGUGUGUGAAGAAGGUCUUCGGAUUGUACAGCACUUUAAGUUGGGAGGAAGGGCUUUAGGUUAGUACCCUGAAGUUUUGACGUUACCAACAUAAUAAGCACCGGCUAACUUCCUGCCAGCAGCCGCGGUAAUACGAAGGGUGCAAGCGUUAAUCGGAAUUACUGGGCGUAAAGCGCGCGUAGGUGGUUUGUCAAGUUGGAAGUGAAAGCCCCGGGCUCAACCUGGGAACUGCUUUCAAAACUGGCAAGCUAGAGUAUGGUAGAGGGUGGUGGAAUUUCCUGUGUAGCGGUGAAAUGCGUAGAUAUAGGAAGGAACACCAGUGGCGAAGGCGACCACCUGGGCUAAUACUGACACUGAGGUGCGAAAGCGUGGGGAGCAAAC
RNAcentral lists this ribosomal RNA (421 nucleotides) under uncultured bacterium. RNAcentral describes it as "partial 16S ribosomal RNA". It matches the Rfam family "Bacterial small subunit ribosomal RNA", at positions 360 to 773 of the family's 1533-position model. The record is from RNAcentral.